AUUCCAGCUCCAAUAGCGUAUAUUUAAGUUGUUGCAGUUAAAAAGCUCGUAGUUGGAUUUUGGUUAAGAGGGCGCGGUCGGCCGUUUGGUCUGUACUGCGUUGUCUUGACUUCCUGAUGAGGACAUGCUCUUGGUUAACGCUGAGACAUGGAGUCAUCGUGGUUACUUUGAAAAAAUUAGAGUGUUCAAAGCGGGCUUACGCUUGAAUAUAUUAGCAUGGAAUAACACUAUAGGACUCCUGUCCUAUCUCGUUGGUCUCGGGAUGGGAGUAAUGAUUAAGAGGAACAGUUGGGGGCAUUCGUAUUUCAUUGUCAGAGGUGAAAUUCCUGGAUUUAUGAAAGACGAACUUCUGCGAAAGCAUUUGCCAAGGAUGUUUUCAUCG
This 382-nucleotide ribosomal RNA is filed under the name Bathycoccus sp. Its description in RNAcentral is "partial small subunit ribosomal RNA". It matches the Rfam family "Eukaryotic small subunit ribosomal RNA", at positions 582 to 975 of the family's 1831-position model. Lineage: Eukaryota; Viridiplantae; Chlorophyta; Mamiellophyceae; Mamiellales; Bathycoccaceae. The record is from RNAcentral.